UACGGCGACUGCGAAUGGCUCAUUAUAUAAGUUAUCGUUUAUUUGAUAGCACCUUACUACUUGGAUAACCGUGGUAAUUCUAGAGCUAAUACAUGCUAAAAAUCCCGACUUCGGAAGGGAUGUAUUUAUUAGAUUAAAAACCAAUGCCCUCUGGGCUCUCUGGUGAUUCAUGAUAACUUCUCGAAUCGCAUGGCCUUGCGCCGGCGAUGGUUCAUUCAAAUUUCUUCCCUAUCAACUUUCGAUGUUUGGGUAGUGGCCAAACAUGGUUGCAACGGGUAACGGAGGGUUAGGGCUCGACCCCGGAGAAGGAGCCUGAGAAACGGCUACUACAUCCAAGGAAGGCAGCAGGCGCGCAAAUUACCCAAUCCCGACACGGGGAGGUAGUGACAAUAAAUACUGAUACAGGGCUCUUUUGGGUCUUGUAAUUGGAAUGAGUACAAUUUAAAUCCCUUAACGAGGAACAAUUGGAGGGCAAGUCUGGUGCCAGCAGCCGCGGUAAUUCCAGCUCCAAUAGCGUAUAUUAAAGUUGUUGUGGUUAAAAAGCUCGUAGUUGAACCUUGGGCCUGGCUGGCCGGUCCGCCUCACCGCGUGCACUGGUCCGGCCGGGCCUUUCCCUCUGUGGAACCCCAUGCCCUUCACUGGGUGUGGCGGGGAAACAGGACUUUUACUUUGAAAAAAUUAGAGUGCUCCAGGCAGGCCUAUGCUCGAAUACAUUAGCAUGGAAUAAUGAAAUAGGACGUGCGGUUCUAUUUUGUUGGUUUCUAGGACCGCCGUAAUGAUUAAUAGGGACAGUCGGGGGCAUCAGUAUUCAAUUGUCAGAGGUGAAAUUCUUGGAUUUAUUGAAGACUAACUACUGCGAAAGCAUUUGCCAAGGAUGUUUUCAUUAAUCAGAACGAAAGUUAGGGGAUCGAAGACGAUCAGAUACCGUCGUAGUCUUAACCAUAAACUAUGCCGACUAGGGAUCGGACGAUGUUAUUUUUUGACUCGUUCGGCACCUUACGAGAAAUCAAAGUGCUUGGGCUCCAGGGGGAGUAUGGUCGCAGGCUGAAACUUAAGAAUUGACGAAGGCACCACCAGGGUGG
RNAcentral lists this ribosomal RNA (1082 nucleotides) under Purpureocillium lilacinum. RNAcentral describes it as "SSU rRNA". It matches the Rfam family "Eukaryotic small subunit ribosomal RNA", at positions 79 to 1179 of the family's 1831-position model. The record is from RNAcentral. Lineage: Eukaryota; Fungi; Ascomycota; Sordariomycetes; Hypocreales; Ophiocordycipitaceae.